GACGAACGCUGGCGGCGUGCUUAACACAUGCAAGUCGAACGGAAAGGCCCUGCUUUUGUGGGGUGCUCGAGUGGCGAACGGGUGAGUAACACGUGAGUAACCUGCCCUUGACUUUGGGAUAACUUCAGGAAACUGGGGCUAAUACCGGAUAGGAGCUCCUGCUGCAUGGUGGGGGUUGGAAAGUUUCGGCGGUUGGGGAUGGACUCGCGGCUUAUCAGCUUGUUGGUGGGGUAGUGGCUUACCAAGGCUUUGACGGGUAGCCGGCCUGAGAGGGUGACCGGCCACAUUGGGACUGAGAUACGGCCCAGACUCCUACGGGAGGCAGCAGUGGGGAAUAUUGCACAAUGGGCGGAAGCCUGAUGCAGCAACGCCGCGUGCGGGAUGAAGGCCUUCGGGUUGUAAACCGCUUUCGCCUGUGUCGAAGCGUGAGUGACGGUAAUGGGUAAAGAAGCACCGGCUAACUACGUG
This 468-nucleotide ribosomal RNA is filed under the name uncultured bacterium. RNAcentral's name for it is "partial 16S ribosomal RNA". It matches the Rfam family "Bacterial small subunit ribosomal RNA", at positions 28 to 507 of the family's 1533-position model. The record is from RNAcentral.